UACAGAGAGGGCAAGCGUUGUCCGGAAUGACUGGGCGUAAAGCGCGCGCAGGCGGUUUUUUAAGUUGGAUGUGAAAUCCCCGGGCUCAACCUGGGAACUGCAUUCGAUACUGGGAAACUAGAGGCCGAGAGAGGAAAGCGGAAUGACGAGUGUAGAGGUGAAAUUCGUAGAUAUUCGUCGGAACACCAGAGGCGAAGGCGGCUUUCUGGCUCGGACCUGACGCUCAGGCGCGAAAGCGUGGGGAGCAAACAGG
RNAcentral lists this ribosomal RNA (253 nucleotides) under uncultured bacterium. RNAcentral's name for it is "partial 16S ribosomal RNA". It matches the Rfam family "Bacterial small subunit ribosomal RNA", at positions 524 to 776 of the family's 1533-position model. The record is from RNAcentral.